Molecule: ribosomal RNA, 396 nt
Filed under: uncultured bacterium
Lineage: Bacteria
Description: partial 16S ribosomal RNA
Rfam family: Bacterial small subunit ribosomal RNA
Source: RNAcentral
AUACGUAGGGAGCGAGCGUUGUCCGGAAUUACUGGGUGUAAAGGGAGCGUAGGCGGGAGUGCAAGUCAGAUGUGAAAUACAUGGGCUCAACCCAUGGGCUGCAUUUGAAACUGCAUUUCUUGAGUGAAGUAGAGGUAAGCGGAAUUCCUGGUGUAGCGGUGAAAUGCGUAGAUAUCAGGAGGAACACCGGUGGCGAAGGCGGCUUACUGGGCUUUUACUGACGCUGAGGCUCGAAAGCGUGGGGAGCAAACAGGAUUAGAUACCCUGGUAGUCCACGCUGUAAACGAUGAUUACUGGGUGUGGGGGGACUGACCCCUUCCGUGCCGCAGUUAACACAAUAAGUAAUCCACCUGGGGAGUACGGCCGCAAGGUUGAAACUCAAAUGAAUUGACGGGG